Molecule: ribosomal RNA, 253 nt
Filed under: uncultured bacterium
Lineage: Bacteria
Description: partial 16S ribosomal RNA
Rfam family: Bacterial small subunit ribosomal RNA
Source: RNAcentral
UACGGAGGGGGCUAGCGUUAUUCGGAAUUACUGGGCGUAAAGGGCUCGUAGGCGGCCAACUAAGUCAGACGUGAAAUCCCUCGGCUUAACCGGGGAACUGCAUCUGAUACUGGAUGGCUUGAGUUCGGGAGAGGGAUGCGGAAUUCCAGGUGUAGCGGUGAAAUGCGUAGAUAUCUGGAGGAACACCGGUGGCGAAGGCGGCAUCCUGGACCGACACUGACGCUGAGGAGCGAAAGCCAGGGGAGCAAACGGG